This 395-nucleotide ribosomal RNA is filed under the name Legionella pneumophila. RNAcentral describes it as "bacterial SSU rRNA". It matches the Rfam family "Bacterial small subunit ribosomal RNA", at positions 443 to 837 of the family's 1533-position model. The record is from RNAcentral. Lineage: Bacteria; Pseudomonadati; Pseudomonadota; Gammaproteobacteria; Legionellales; Legionellaceae.
GGUUGAUAGGUUAAGAGCUGAUUAACGGACGUUACCCACAGAAGAAGCACCGGCUAACUCCGUGCCAGCAGCCGCGGUAAUACGGAGGGUGCGAGCGUUAAUCGGAAUUACUGGGCGUAAAGGGUGCGUAGGUGGUUUGAUAAGUUAUCUGUGAAAUACCUGGGCUCAACCUGGGCAGGUCAGAUAAUACUGUUAGACUCGAGUAUGGGAGAGGGUAGUGGAAUUUCCGGUGUAGCGGUGAAAUGCGUAGAGAUCGGAAGGAACACCAGUGGCGAAGGCGGCUACCUGGCCUAAUACUGACACUGAGGCACGAAAGCGUGGGGAGCAAACAGGAUUAGAUACCCUGGUAGUCCACGCUGUAAACGAUGUCAACUAGCUGUUGGUUAUAUGAAAAU